RNAcentral lists this unclassified non-coding RNA (6985 nucleotides) under Hevea brasiliensis (rubber tree). The record is from RNAcentral. Lineage: Eukaryota; Viridiplantae; Streptophyta; Magnoliopsida; Malpighiales; Euphorbiaceae.
GCAAAAGAAAGCGAGAAAAAUUUUUGCAUAUUUCCUUGAAAAAGUUCGACGCAUUAAAAGAGCCUUUUCCGGCUGCUUAUAUUAAAAAAAGGGGUUCGAUGACAAUAACAUAUUCUAUAUCAAGAGGAUAUAACGUGGUAACCAGCCAAAAAUUACAACAGGAAAGAAAGAAAAAAAUUAAAUGGAAAGAAAGGAGAGAGAAGAGAGGGAAGGGGGUGGGAAUCAAAACUCAACUUACAUCUUGGCAUGUACAAGCAAAAGGUGUCGCACUACGAAUCAACGGAGGCGCCAGCUUGACCUUGCAAGUGUCCUCACAAAGGUCUGAAUGAGACCGACUGGGGAUGACCGUUGGGGGAGACCACUGGUCUGGCACCAUAAGAAAAUACGCUGUCAUUGCUUUUCUGAAUCGUUUCUUAUACUGCUCGGGUGAGAUCACAGUUGGAGUGGCGUUCUUAGACCCGCCAAGGAUGCCUGAUGCCUUCACCUUCACCCAGGUCUCAAGGUGCUUGUCCCACGUAUACUGUCUUAUAAAAUCAAUGAUUCCGAGUACCAACUCGUGCUUUUCCUCAUCCACACCAACCAAUAGCGAAUAGUCCAUUACAUCAAUCGACUGUAGCAACAUAUAACAACAAAUUAAAACAAUACAUAAAAGCUAGAUAACACUGCACUAAAUGGUGAACACCACAAGAGAUUCAGGUGUAGCAAUUACUGACUGAGCCUUAAAUCCAAUGAUUUUUUUUACCGAAUUUUCUUUCAAACUGAAAUGAAAAUGGCACACUGAGAUCGCAUAAUAUAUAUCGCAUAAUAUAUAGGGUUAACAAGUAAUAACGGUUCCCCUUCCCAGAAUUGGAACUACCUGGUACACUUUGACACAUUACAGGUGCUCCAGGGAAAGGAAAUAAGAUAUAAAGAAAAACCACUAAAGUUACAUAAUUAUUUAAGCACAGGAGAGGGAGAAAGCACUGCAAUUCAGUGACAACUUACGGCAAGAAAUGAAGUGUCAUUCCAGACAGCCCUCUCUAGCAAAUGCUUUGCCUUGUUUCCCACAAAAAUUGGAGAAGUUGGCAUUGAUUCAAUCAAAUUCUGGUCCAGCAGAACUUUGUUGCUCCCACUUGUAUCUGGAUUGUAUCGUGAUCGAGAAGAUCCUUUAAGGUCAUAAAGCCGUACAACAUUUCGCUUAAACAGGAGAUUCUCCAUUACCAGAACAUCCAUUUUCGAUUCUUUCCCCCCUUUGAGGUGCUUUGAUGAAACCUGAUAAAUACCAAGUAUCUUAGCCAGGCAAGUUGGGUUUCCAGUACUGAUUGAGUGAGAUAAAUACUUAAAAUAUGCUGGUCCAAAUUUGAUGAAUGACUCCAGCUCCGUUUUUGUAACCUGUUUGAUGAUAAAUCGAUCAUCCAAAGUUUUAGCAAAGAAAACAUUGCUCUUGCCACCCUGGGCUCCCCACUUCUUACAGCGACUAAGAGAUCGUAUGAAAUCAAAUUCGGAAGGGCAACAAAUCCUCCUUAAGGCCUCAAACCUCUUUGCAUAGUAACAAGUCACCAUAUAUUUCACUUUUCCUUGAACACUAUCAUCUGUAAAAGAAACUCUGGCAUGCAAAUCCUUAGUGUAUGAGAGAGGAUCCAAAAUCUGAGGGCCUCGGGACCCAGGCAUGGACAGGAUGCUUUCUUCAAUAGAACCAAGACUUCUGUAAAUAUCAGAAACUGAUUCAUCAAAAGAGUUAAAUGAUAGUAGAUGCACUGAAUCAAAGAGUGGCAAUGAAAUUGUAGUCUCCCCAGAUUCUUUUGGUUUUUCAAGCUCAGACAUCUGGAGAUGAUAAUCAGGUGAGACAAGUGCAUAUGCUAUAAUGCUAGUGGGUUCAUCAUCAUAAACAGGAACAACAGUGUCAUUGACGCCAACAGGCAGAAGCAACUUAGCACUGUUUUGCCGUUCCAACUCUCUAAAAAGUGAGACAUAAACAGGAUUGUACUCGCUAAUACCAAUCUUUUGAGCAUCCAAUGAAGUUCUUUUGAAUGAACUGUAUAAAUUAGGAAAUGGCAUUCCCACUGUACUGGAGUUUUCUACAUUUUGAGGCCACUUUGAGGCUAAUGCAGAAUCAGGAGAAUGAACAACCUCAAACCCACCUUUGUCAACAAUACAAUGUUCCAAUUCUGCAUUUGCAGCAACUGAAUUUACUGGAAUUGAAUCAGGAAGGGAGAAACCUUUCUCUUCAAGUAUCAUAGCUAAGUGAUUUUUGCCAGUCCAUGCUGCAUCAAGUGAGUCAGAUAAAUUAUCCACAAUUGGAAACUCACCCUCUGAACGGACUCGCCGCAAAACAUUUCCAGAUUCUGAAGGGUCAGUUUUCUCAUUACUCUUUGCACUAGAAGAAAGACAAAGCUCUGAAUCCUUCAUCAGGUUCAGGUCCAGAUCUCUGUCCCUUCCUUCAUGUACCCUGACUGACUGGCUAACAGAGCUAUCAUUUCCUCCUUGAUUAAGAUUUAGCUCUGGCUUUGUAUGCACGAGAAUGGAAUCACAAUUGCUAAAGCCUUUGCCAGGCUUAAGAGAUGUAUCCACCUCAACAAGGCUCUCGACAGAAUUGACACGUUUUUCCUUGAGUUUUGGAACAAAAUUCCUUAGACCUUCCUCAGGAUUGGUGUUGCUUAAACUACCUGCAUAAAUCAGCCGUUGGUCCCAAACAUAAGAAUGGAAGAGUAUCUGCCUCCUUAAUUUAUUAAGCUCAAGAAGAUCAAACACAGGUUGGCCAACUUUCGCCUCCUUAGAUAUUGCAUUCUGUAAAGAUUCCUCAAGUUCUUCUUUCUCCUUCUGCAGUAUCCCUUCUAGUUCUGCAACAUGAAAUCUUGAUAAUUCAGAUGAUUUUAAGUUACCAUUCUGUGAUCCUUCACCUAAUGUUUUCUCUGAAAUCUGAUGAAGGGCAUUUUGCACUUCUGUAAAUAGAAGUUCUGCCCUUUGACGUACCUCAUUUGCUUCUUUUUGAAUCCACUCCUGAUUAUCACAGUUAAAUUCAAUUUUUGGUGGUGGAAGAUAAACUGAAUGAACAUCAAUUGAAGCAUAGCGGAAGCAAGCAACCAUUCUCCCAAAUCCGUAAAACCUAAGACAAUCUCUGUGAAGGGAAUGACCACAGCUUGCAACCCUGCUUGCGGCUGCAUGAUUUGAAAAGCUAAGCUCCAAAAAUUUCCCAAAAGACAAACCCCAGGCAGCAUCAGACAUCACUACUCUUCGAGUGGCUGGAGGAAAGCCAUUGUUCCGUGGACAUCGCAGGCACCUGUGCCACAUCCAAAUUUUGCCUUCACGUUCCCCUGGUAAAAGAAACUCCGGGAGUUUCUUAACAGACAUUGUAAGGCUACCUUGCCGAUGAGUAUAACAGUAAACGUGAGCUUCUGAUGGCAUCUCACAUGAACGGCAGCGGUAAUUCUGAUCAAAAAGAUGACCUCGUAAAAACCGCCCCAAAGGUUUGUCAAAACUCCCAUAGUAUUUUAUUCGAAAAAGAUGGGCCCUUUCACACACAGUUCCUUUCCACACACAUCGUGUUGAUAAUGACACCAAAAUGCUCUGAUGGUCUGAAGGUGAUGGAGGAAACUCCUCCUUUGUUGAUCCAAUCUCUUCAUGAUUGUUACCAUCAUUCUUUACAGCCAAAACAUUUCCAUCAGCAUGGCUACUGUCAAUAUCUUGUUCCAAUGCUACUGAGGUGCCAAAAGAUGUACAAAAUAAAGGACUGUCCGAAUUGGCUCUUUUGCCCUGAAAGGAUUCUUCAGCUUCUGUCUUAUAAUCCUUCCCCGAGACAUGAUCUGAGAAUAACUUGUUAUGGCAAGGACCUGAGGCGUCCUGCCCUAAAGGAGACAAAGAAGUCAAGGAACCAGUGUGUUCAGUUGAGCUUGAGCAAAGGUUCCUGUACUCAAUUUGAGAAGAUGGACUUUUUGACAGAAAAGUAGAAUCAGCAUGUCCUGACUCGCAAACAGGCUCAAAAUUGGUAGGUGAGGCCACAUCUGAGAUGAUACCUUUGUUUGAUUUUUGUACUAUGCUUGGAGGUUGGGAACUUGACAGCUUUCUAGUUCCAGGGACAGUAAAACCAGGUAUAGUGGAAAUGGACCUGUCAAUGCUUGAUGGUUUAUCAGGUAAUGCAACAGUUAUUGGAGACUUCAAAGGAAGCUCCAGAAGGGAAGCACCUUCGUCAGCCAGAAAAGAAGUCUCUAAUGCCAAGUGAUAAGCUGCAAAAACUCCAUAUUGGACCACAUGCUUCACCUUCUUCAAAUCAUCACCAUGGGCACCCUUAAGCAAAAUCUGAUGACGGAAAAGAAAAUUACUAACUCUAUCUUAAUUAUCUUUACAACAUCUAUCCUCAAAUUGCAGUCCCUAAGCAAGUCUAAUAAGUAGCUGAGUUACUCCACGGGUGUUGCCAUAUUUAUAUCAGAGAACACAUCAAAAGGCCUAAGCAAGGAGCGAUUAAUUAAUGUAAUUCUUGUAACUUACUAAUCAGGUUGCAAAUUGCUUCCUAGUCUAUGCUACAUUAUGUUUCUCAAUUCAGUCAUAAUUGAAACCAUAAAUGAAACCAUACAUUAAUUUUGGUAAAGAAACCAUAAAUGAAACUACAAGGAAAUGUCUCUGGCCAAUGAAGAAGUACUCUAAACGACACUGCUGACUAUGAUCAGAAGUGGCAUUGUAAAUUAUGCAACUCCACUUUGUGUGUGUAUUUGUCUAUAGACUGCAAAAACUUACAGUGCAACCCAAAGGCUUUGGGCAACCCUCAAAGAACAUCAGAGUCUUAGUCAACUUCUUCCCACCUUGCCCUGCGCUGCCAUGCUCCUCAAGAAAUUUCUCCACAUGGAAAAGGUCACAAUAACCCAGUUUCUGUGAAUUGAGAUGAUCAAUUGAAGGGACUAUGUGUGCACCAGUGCAGCGGGCUAUCCGCUCUAAAAGUGGCCUCUUAAUAUUCAAAACAAGGGAAAUGUCUUUUGCCAGAAGGUAUUCUUGAGCAUAUCGGGAAACUGAUUUCUCUACCAAAAGAACAUUAGGGUGAUGAGCAUCAAUCUUUGCAACUGCCAUCUUCAAAUGGUCCAUUUCCUGCUGUAACAAAGUAUCUACACUUGACAAAUGGUUAGAUACACGCUGAUACUCCAAAGCUCCUCCAAGGAUUAGAAAGUGUGGUUUAUCUAUUUUUGACAUCAUUCGACGAUGAGCCACAUUUUUCUUACAGACAACUCCUUUAACCACCAUACUCUCACUACGACGCCCACUGGCUAUGCAUUUAACCUUCACAUAUCCACCAGGAUCCAUUCCUCCGCCCGUGCUUGUAUCUGGCUUAAGAAGAGUAGCAGCUUCCGAGGACAAAGAAGUGAUUAUCUCCAACCAACUGUCAUUGGCAUCUUCAUCACCUACAGAUAGAUUUUCAACUUGCAAGAGCUGUGCUACUAAAGCUCUAAAGUGCCCUUCCAACACAUUCUUCAUCGCCUUUCUGUGCUCUUCAGUUGAUUUAUCCUUACAGCGGUACUCGCCACUACCAAAGCUGUUUGAAGGGCGUAAGAAACCCCACUCCCCAGUUGUAGCUUCAUCAUCCUCAUCAUCAUCAAAUAAAACAGCUUCUCUCUCAUCAUCUUCAUCUUCUGGUUCUGGAGGGAGCCAAAGUAGCCCAUUGUUCUCAAAAUCAACAGGUUCAGCAUCAGCACCAUUCACAUCAUAGGAAGAAGCUUCACACUCAUCACCAUCAUGUCCAUAAGCUUCUUCCCCAUCAUUCUUAAUUUUGUCUACACCCUGUGUGUCAAAAUUCUCAGAUAAUGGUGGACAUCUUAUGCUUGUUGUAUCGAUUUGAUCUCUAUCGUGAAUUAUUCCACGUGGUCCAUACAUGUGGUCAACAUCAUCAACAGUGUCUGGCCCAUAAUAGUCAUCAGCAUGAGAGAAAUGCCUUGUUCCUGAAACUGAAUGAUAAACACCAUAUUCAUCAUCCUCAUCAUCACUCCUGUUCAUGCAAUACCCAAACUGGUUUGCAGAUGAACAGAAUGCAGCUGCAGGAGCAUCUGAACUCCUUCCACAAGUUAAAUUUUCUUGGUCAACUGCAUUUGGAUCCAUUGAAGCAGAUUGUUGAGGACUAAGACCAGAGCUAUAUGGCAGAGUCUGGUAAGCCCCAGUCGAGUAUGAAUUUGAACCAACAGUGCUGCUGCUGCUGUUAAAGGUGCAGCAGGACUUGGUGCUGACCAAACUUGUUGCAGAGGGUGAUGGACUGAGCCCAGGGCUACCCACAUUGGUCCCAUUGUCAACAGCUGUUAUCCCCUGUUGCCAUUGCUUGAAGCAAUAAUUACAGACCCUGACCCUUUCCCAAUCUUCACUGCCUGUCCUUGGGUCAUCUGAUGGGGCAGGAAUUGAGCUUGCCGUACACUUAGCACAAAAAACUCGGCCACAGAGUCUACAAUGAUGCCUACGGUUAAAUACUGUGAACUGGGAGUCACACUCAUAACAUACCCUACAGCUCUGGUCGGGCAUCCAAAAGUCCCUUGACACAUUCGCUGGUUCACUCCUCCUAGGUAUCCAGGAUUUAACUAUAUCAACAAAAUCAGAUACUUUUUUAUCAGGUUUGCCCAUUGACAGCAAUCCCAGCCGAACCUCCACCUCAUUAUGUAAUGCUCAUUUGCGACAGCCUUACAACUGCAAAUUGGAUUCUCGGCAACAACAGCCCUAGGAUUGCUAGCGGCUUCAAUUCCUGAAAUCUUCAAAGCUGAAAAGAAAGCAGAUCCUCUAAAAAUCAAUCAAAAACUGAAUUCAAUCGAAAUCAUAUUAAAGAGUGGGCGAAAUCCCGUAGCAAUUCUAAUUCCAUACACGGCACCACUCAAAUGCAUAACAUCCCUCUGCCAAUCAAACAAUGAAUAGAGAUCUUCAGGUAACCCACCAAAAAUAUUUAAAUUUCAUAUUAAGAUUAUUAUUAUUAUUAUUAGGUAAUGAAAUUAAUGAUUAAAUGGAGGGGAAAGGAGAGAAAACGGUUAAGAAUGCAGCUGUCGCAUUU